CCUACGGGAGGCAGCAGUGGGGAAUAUUGCACAAUGGGGGAAACCCUGAUGCAGCAACGCCGCGUGAGUGAAGAAGUAUUUCGGUAUGUAAAGCUCUAUCAGCAGGGAAGAAAAUGACGGUACCUGCGUAAUACUCCCCGGCUACCUACGUUCCAGCAGCCGCGGUCAUACGUAGGGGGCAAGCGUUAUCCGGAUUUACUGGGUGUAAAGGGAGCGUAGACGGCGAUACAAUGCUGAAGUGAAAGCCCGGGGCUCAACCCCGGGACUGCUUUGGAAACUGUGUUGCUGGAGUGCUGGAGAGGCAAGCGGAAUUCCUAGUGUAGCGGUGAAAUGCGUAGAUAUUAGGAAGAACACCAGUGGCGAAGGCGGCUUGCUGGACAGUAACUGACGUUGAGGCUCGAAAGCGUGGGGAGCAAACAGGAUUAGAUACCCGGGUAGUC
This 440-nucleotide ribosomal RNA is filed under the name uncultured bacterium. RNAcentral's name for it is "partial 16S ribosomal RNA". It matches the Rfam family "Bacterial small subunit ribosomal RNA", at positions 338 to 795 of the family's 1533-position model. The record is from RNAcentral.